Molecule: ribosomal RNA, 492 nt
Filed under: uncultured bacterium
Lineage: Bacteria
Description: partial 16S ribosomal RNA
Rfam family: Bacterial small subunit ribosomal RNA
Source: RNAcentral
AGUGAACGCUGGCGGUAGGCCUAACACAUGCAAGUCGAACGGCAGCACAGUAAGAGCUUGCUCUUACGGGUGGCGAGUGGCGGACGGGUGAGGAAUACAUCGGAAUCUACUUUUUCGUGGGGGAUAACGUAGGGAAACUUACGCUAAUACCGCAUACGACCUACGGGUGAAAGCAGGGGAUCUCCGGACCUUGCGCGAUUGAAUGAGCCGAUGUCGGAUUAGCUAGUUGGCGGGGUAAAGGCCCACCAAGGCGACGAUCCGUAGCUGGUCUGAGAGGACGAUCAGCCACACUGGAACUGAGACACGGUCCAGACUCCUACGGGAGGCAGCAGUGGGGAAUAUUGGACAAAGGGCGCAAGCCUGAUCCAGCCAUACCGCGUGGGUGAAGAAGGCCUUCGGGUUGUAAAGCCCUUUUGUUGGGAAAGAAAAGCAGCAGGUUAAUACCCCGCUGUUCUGACGGUACCCAAAGAAUAAGCACCGGCUAACUUCGUG